UGGGGAAUUUUGGACAAUGGGGGAAACCCUGAUCCAGCCAUCCCGCGUGUGCGAUGAAGGCCUUCGGGUUGUAAAGCACUUUUGGCAGGAAAGAAACGUCGCGGGUUAAUACCCCGCGAAACUGACGGUACCUGCAGAAUAAGCACCGGCUAACUACGUGCCAGCAGCCGCGGUAAUACGUAGGGUGCAAGCGUUAAUCGGAAUUACUGGGCGUAAAGCGUGCGCAGGCGGUCCGGAAAGAAAGAUGUGAAAUCCCAGAGCUUAACUUUGGAACUGCAUUUUUAACUACCGGGCUAGAGUGUGUCAGAGGGAGGUGGAAUUCCGCGUGUAGCAGUGAAAUGCGUAGAUAUGCGGAGGAACACCGAUGGCGAAGGCAGCCUCCUGGGAUAACACUGACGCUCAUGCACGAAAGCGUGGGGAGCAAACAGGAUUAGAUACCCUGGUAGUCCACGCCCUAAACGAUGUCAACUAGCUGUUGGGGCCUUCGGGCCUUGGUAGCGCAGCUAACGCGUAAGUUGACCGCCUGGGGAGUACGGUCGCAAGAUUAAAACUUAAAGGAAUUG
RNAcentral lists this ribosomal RNA (563 nucleotides) under uncultured bacterium. Its description in RNAcentral is "partial 16S ribosomal RNA". It matches the Rfam family "Bacterial small subunit ribosomal RNA", at positions 355 to 912 of the family's 1533-position model. The record is from RNAcentral.